RNAcentral lists this long non-coding RNA (512 nucleotides) under Brachypodium distachyon (stiff brome). RNAcentral describes it as "long non-coding RNA (BDIS_LNC003770)". Lineage: Eukaryota; Viridiplantae; Streptophyta; Magnoliopsida; Poales; Poaceae. The record is from RNAcentral.
AAAGGCAUGUUGUCGUGGCCUUCGGCAAGGAGGCCUCGGCUUAGUUGUUCACGCCAAAAACCCUCUUUGCCGUGGCCCGUGGGCCUUCUCUCGACUUAAUUUGCUGAAGGCAAAAACGUGUGCCUCCGGCCAAAAAAACUGAACGGGAGCGUAAGGUGAGUAAGAGUCUUUGCCGAAGGCUAAUCGAUACUGAUCAAGCUAGACAGGUCGAGGAAUGCACCGUAGCUGCUCUCGUUUUAUUUGAUUGUCACUUAUAUAGUGUACAAGUACAUCAUUCGCACAGAUACCUUCCGCAAAGAAUUACUGGAAAAAAGAAAUAAAAAAGGACGACGUCGCGUUCGCGUGCCCCUGCCGCCGAGCAGGACGAGGCCGGCGCGCUCCACCACGUCUGCGGUCGCCCGCACGCUCCACCACGAGAUGCGCGCCGCCGAGAAGGACGAGGAAGGAGACGCGGGCUUGGCGGGGCUGCGGAGGCAGGCGGCGCGGGCGGGGGAGCCAGAGGCAGGCGGCAA